AGAGUUUGAUCCUGGCUCAGAUUGAACGCUGGCGGUAUGCCUUACACAUGCAAGUCGAACGGUAGAGGAGCAAUCCUCGAGAGUGGCGAACGGGUGAGUAAUACAUCGGAACGUGCCCAGUCGUGGGGGAUAACGUAGCGAAAGCUACGCUAAUACCGCCUACGACCCGAGGGUGAAAGCGGGGGACUCGCAAGAGCCUCGCGCGAUUGGAGCGGCCGAUGGCAGAUUAGGUAGUUGGUGGGGUAAAGGCCCACCAAGCCUGCGAUCUGUAGCUGGUCUGAGAGGACGACCAGCCACACUGGGACUGAGACACGGCCCAGACUCCUACGGGAGGCAGCAGUGGGGAAUUUUGGACAAUGGGCGAAAGCCUGAUCCAGCCAUACCGCGUGCGGGAAGAAGGCCUUCGGGUUGUAAACCGCUUUUGUCAGGGAAGAAAUACUUCGGGCUAAUACCCUGGGGUGAUGACGGUACCUGAAGAAUAAGCACCGGCUAACUACGUGCCAGCAGCCGCGGUAAUACGUAGGGUGCAAGCGUUAAUCGGAAUUACUGGGCGUAAAGCGUGCGCAGGCGGUUCUAUAAGACAGAUGUGAAAUCCCCGGGCUCAACCUGNGAACUGCAUUUGUGACUGUAGAGCUAGAGUA
This 641-nucleotide ribosomal RNA is filed under the name uncultured bacterium. Its description in RNAcentral is "bacterial SSU rRNA". It matches the Rfam family "Bacterial small subunit ribosomal RNA", at positions 8 to 648 of the family's 1533-position model. The record is from RNAcentral.